RNAcentral lists this ribosomal RNA (227 nucleotides) under uncultured Actinomycetales bacterium. Its description in RNAcentral is "partial 16S ribosomal RNA". It matches the Rfam family "Bacterial small subunit ribosomal RNA", at positions 104 to 334 of the family's 1533-position model. Lineage: Bacteria; Bacillati; Actinomycetota; Actinomycetes; Actinomycetales. The record is from RNAcentral.
GGGUGAGUAACACGUGGGUGAUCUGCCCUGCACUCUGGGAUAAGCCUGGGAAACUGGGUCUAAUACCGGAUAGGACCAUGCUUUAGUGUGUGUGGUGGAAAGUUUUUCGGUGUAGGAUGAGCCCGCGGCCUAUCAGCUUGUUGGUGGGGUAAUGGCCUACCAAGGCGGCGACGGGUAGCCGGACUGAGAGGGUUGGUCGGCCACAUUGGGACUGAGAUACGGCCCAG